GAUGAACGCUGGCGGCGUGCCUAAUACAUGCAAGUCGAGCGAACAGACGAGAAGCUUGCUUUUCUGAUGUUAGCGGCGGACGGGUGAGUAACACGUGGAUACCCUACCUAUAAGACUGGGAUAACUUCGGGAAACCGGAGCUAAUACCGGAUAAUAUUUUGAACCGCAUGGUUCAAAAGUGAAAGACGGUCUUGCUGUCACUUCUAGAUGCAUCCGCGCUGCAUUAGCUAGUUGGUAAGGUAACGGCUUACCAAGGCAACGAUGCAUAUCCGACCUGAGAGGGUGAUCGGCCACACGGGAACUGAGCCACGGUCCAGACUCCUACGGGAGGCAGCAGUAGGGAAUCUUCCGCAAUGGGCGAAAGCCUGACGGAGCAACGCCGCGUGAGUGAUGAAGGUCUUCGGAGCGUAAAACUCUGUUAUUAGGGAAGAACAUAUGUGUAAGUAAAUGUGCACAUCUUGACGGUACCUAAUCAGAAAGCCACGGCUAACUACGUG
RNAcentral lists this ribosomal RNA (497 nucleotides) under uncultured bacterium. RNAcentral describes it as "partial 16S ribosomal RNA". It matches the Rfam family "Bacterial small subunit ribosomal RNA", at positions 28 to 507 of the family's 1533-position model. The record is from RNAcentral.